RNAcentral lists this long non-coding RNA (314 nucleotides) under Gossypium barbadense (sea-island cotton). RNAcentral describes it as "long non-coding RNA (GBAR_LNC008998)". Lineage: Eukaryota; Viridiplantae; Streptophyta; Magnoliopsida; Malvales; Malvaceae. The record is from RNAcentral.
AUUGAUAGCUCGUUUCUCUUCGUAUAAGUCUGAGGUAAGUUCUUAUGUUAAUAAGCAUUAACGUAAUUGUGUUUCAAAUGCUUUAUAAUUGUAUUGUUGAUGAAUACGACAUUACGAAAAUGUUCGAUGAAGAUUUGACAAUGUGUAAAUCCCGGUAGAACCUUAGGAAUAGAUUAGGAUACAAAUGACAAGUUAUUAAGGGUUAUUAUGUUUGGGUGCUGGUCGUACGUUUUACCGGUGGUUGAGUUUUUUGGCAUGUGUUGUAGAUUCUUGUCAGCUUGUGUGAGCAGCACCGUGUAGUUACAUCUUGACCG